Molecule: ribosomal RNA, 253 nt
Filed under: uncultured bacterium
Lineage: Bacteria
Description: partial 16S ribosomal RNA
Rfam family: Bacterial small subunit ribosomal RNA
Source: RNAcentral
UACGUAGGGGGCAAGCGUUGUCCGGAAUCAUUGGGCGUAAAGAGCGUGUAGGCGGCCCGGUAAGUCCGCUGUGAAAGUCCAGGGCUCAACCCUGGAAUGCCGGUGGAAACUGUCGGGCUAGAGUCCGGAAGAGGCGAGUGGAAUUCCUGGUGUAGCGGUGAAAUGCGCAGAUAUCAGGAGGAACACCAAUUGCGAAGGCAGCUCGCUGGGACUUUACUGACGCUGAGACGCGAAAGCGUGGGGAGCAAACAGG